Erinaceus europaeus (western European hedgehog) is the source of this 127-nucleotide non-coding RNA. Lineage: Eukaryota; Metazoa; Chordata; Mammalia; Eulipotyphla; Erinaceidae. The record is from Rfam.
AGCACCUGUGCUUGUUUUUGUUUAAUUAGUGGACAAAGCCUUUAUUAGACAAGUGCAAAGACUAACUCCUCUUUUGCAACCCAGAACACACUAUUCAGUAUGAGUUCUGAUACCUAGAAGGAACAUA